CAGGGAACGAGAAAAAAAAAAAAAAAAAAAAAAAAAAAAAAAAAAAAAAACUGU
Molecule: non-coding RNA, 54 nt
Filed under: Prorocentrum micans
Lineage: Eukaryota; Dinophyceae; Prorocentrales; Prorocentraceae
Source: RNAcentral